GAUUUUUUUUAUAUGAUGAAAUAACCAUGCAACAUAGAGUCAAGCUCUGAGUCAAAAAUGACAUGGGAAGAGAAUUGCCUUUUUAUACUGAACUAUUAAUAAUC
This is a small nucleolar RNA of 104 nucleotides. It matches the Rfam family "Small nucleolar RNA snR66". Rfam says of the family: snR66 is a member of the C/D class of snoRNA which contain the C (UGAUGA) and D (CUGA) box motifs.